GGACAACAUUCUUCUUAAAUUGUCACGGGGUGUGAUGAGAACUGAAGGAAAUGCUGUAACUGCUAUAAUCAUACUUUCUCAUUUUGGGUUUUUGUAAAGUAGAAAGCAUUAGUCCUAUGUAUACACACUAAUAGAAACAUGCACGUUGACUCUGAGGAGUCACUUUUUGAUUGUAUUCCAAAGAUGCAUAUAGAACUGUGAUCUAUCAUGUAUAUGUUUCGUUGAUAUUCACACCAUGUAUAGCGUUUAGAAGAUGGCAUAUUCGACCAUUGGAACUUUUCCCUCAAUCUUUGUACGAAUUGUUCUAACAACAAAUAAUGAGGUCAGUGUGCAAUGCUAUAAACUAUGAUUUCAUUUAGCAAUUAUUUCAAUUUUUCACAUCGGAAUAAGGAACGAAAUGUUAUCUUGGGAAUAAGCGGAGAAGAUCUAGGGUGGGUGUGUUUUUUGUAUUUUGUUUUGCUUUUUUGUUCAAAUUGUUUAUAUCUUUUGUUGUUGUUUUUUUAAGGGGGGGGGGUAUUCUGACUCUUCAUUUUAAAAGUGUCGUGUUAUGAUACAGAAGAUGACUGAUUAAAUUAGUUGUAAGGCAAUGUUAAGUCACCUCUCUUCCUUCUUACACUGUACUAUAGUUUUUAUAGAGGAAAAUAACAUAGAUUAUACUUAUUCAUAGCAUAAACAUUCAUUGUGCCUUAUUAUGACCAUUUUAGGUAAAUUGUCAAGUUGUUGAUCAUUAAUGUGUAAAUCCU
RNAcentral lists this long non-coding RNA (743 nucleotides) under Mytilus galloprovincialis (Mediterranean mussel). Lineage: Eukaryota; Metazoa; Mollusca; Bivalvia; Mytilida; Mytilidae. The record is from RNAcentral.